Molecule: ribosomal RNA, 261 nt
Filed under: uncultured bacterium
Lineage: Bacteria
Description: partial 16S ribosomal RNA
Rfam family: Bacterial small subunit ribosomal RNA
Source: RNAcentral
UUGUCCUUAGUUACCAGCGAUUCGGUCGGGCACUCUAAGGAGACUGCCGGUGACAAACCGGAGGAAGGUGGGGAUGACGUCAAGUCAUCAUGGCCCUUACGGCCAGGGCUACACACGUGCUACAAUGGUCGGUACAAAGGGUUGCCAAGUCGCGAGGCGGAGCUAAUCCCAGAAAACCGAUCGUAGUCCGGAUCGCAGUCUGCAACUCGACUGCGUGAAGUCGGAAUCGCUAGUAAUCGCGAAUCAGAAUGUCGCGGUGAA